UCUUAUCCUUCUCUGCCGUUUCAAUUAUUCACACCCAUUCCACCUUUCUACUUUCAACCCUCAAUUGAUCUCUUCCAGUUUCCCCUCACCGACGCCGUCCCUGGAUUCCGCCAUAGACCUUCUCUCAGGCCACCGCCACUAACUGCCAUCACCGCUUCUCCGUUCCGUGAAUGACCUCCUCUCCAUCCAUUCCCAUGUGGCAUCUUCUCUCUCACUACUCUUCACCUUCAGUCACGUGCCUAUGUUAUCUUCAGAUCCUUUGUCAGUAAAUUUAUCCCAAACAUAAUGGUUAAGCUUUGUUCAUCAUUGAGUUUUAGCUAUGUUGUCUUCUACCUUCAAGUCUUUACUGCAUUGCCUUCUCUAUUGUUGACCUGAAUUGGGUGUGAAUAUAGAUUCUAUGACAGGUUUAAAAUACUGCGGAAAAAUUCUCAUUGAGGUAUCUAUGCGAUUUCCCACUUACAACUUUGCUGACUUUCUGAAUCCGCAAGUUGAACUUGAUAGAGCUAGGCUUGUGCAACUGUUCAACAAAGUAGCCUUAUGACUCUUUAUCAAUCUUUGUUUAGUCAGAUAAUUGACUAAUUGUUAUUAAUUUAUUUGACUGAAGAAGAUAGAAAAUGGAGGAGAGGACUGAAAUUCAGAAUGGGGUUGCUCUAUGAAGUAUGAUAGUUGCUCUAGAGGAGGGGAAAUGGGGUCAUGAGGGAAGUGGCAAGUGGGAAAGAGAGAGAUAUGAGCGGUGACUUGACAAGGUUUUCUUUUGGUUUGCAAGGAGUUAGAAUAAGAAGUUGGAGCAGAUCUAAUAGCAUGAUACAACCAUAGAGAAAUUAUGGUAGUUUGGGUGGGGUUGAAAGGACACGAUGCCCAACUAGGUGACAAAGAAGCAAGGUUGAUGACUCAUUUGAAGAGGUUGCAAAGAUUGGUAUUUUUAUUUUACCCACGGGAAAGAAGCAAAGUAUGAUCCAAACAGGUCUAAGAGACCUCCAUUCUCAUUCCUCUAAAUUCAGGAGUGGAAGCAGGGUUUUGGAUUCACUCAUACUGUUAGCUGCCACUGUACGUGAGCUCUUACAUCACAAGUUGAGCUUAUGUGUUAUGUUUCAUGAUAUCUUUAUGAUCACCAUUUAUAUAAGCAUUGCUGUUAGGUUGAUACCCAGAAAAUUUCUGGUCUUAAAAGCAACUAUAGUUUUAUCACUUUAUGCUUUUUUACCUGGGAGUUAAUUGCUAUUUUUACUAUUUUACUUGAGUAAAUUAUAGUAACUGAAUUUACAGUGAAAUGGAUAAAGAAAUACUCAGAAAACACUCCUCUGAUUACAAAUGGCAGUUUACAGCAAAUUAUAGAAGCUGGAAAAGAAAGAAACAUAUACGAGAAUAAACCUCAGUACUACCCAAAUGAUUUCCCACCACCUUUCUCACUAUCCUCUCUUUCCCUCAUAUUCACGUCCUUUUCCCUGGUUCCAGCAUCCCCUGCUACCCUACUCUGUUGCCACUGUCCAGUUUGUUAGAAUUUGACCUAGCAGACACUUCCCCGCUAUCUCCCACAUCAUUUUCCAACCUACCCUUCUUCCUCUUCCCCCUUUUACUGUAGUCCUUCAUUGGAAGCCCAUGAUGAGGUUCAUCAGUAAACCAUUUUGUUCAUUACGCAACAACUCAGCAGCCAAUAGUUUGAGUUUUCAACUGACUUUUAUGAUGAACUUUUGGAAGAGACACUUUAGCUUUAGCAUUGUAAAUCUUGGCAGUCAACCGAAGGUAUUUAUCAUCUAGAGUCUAGAGGAUUGUGAAUUUAACUUGAUUUUCUUUCCUUGGUUUUCAAGUUCGUAGAGGACUUUUAUAAUUCUUUGAAUAAUUAUGUGUGGUGGUUUUGUUUUGAGAUGAACUGACAUUGAAAUCUUUGGACUCUAUUUCCCAGCCAUUAGAUGAUGUCUUCAUUUUGUUAGCCCUAGGACAAGGGUAUCCUCUAAGAUGCUUCUUCUUACAAAGGUCACAAUUCUUGAUAUGCUUGAUGGAUUAUAUGAAACAAAGGAAAUGAUUUAUGCAGAGAUAUUGGAGCAAGCUGAGAGUAGGGAGUCUUUUAUUGGGGGAGACAUGUUUCUCCCGCUAUAGCAGGGGAUGAUUUCCGUAUGAAGUUUUGUAAUCAUUAUACUUCUCUUUUCACUAAUUGAAGAGCUAUAUCAGUACUGAGUAGAGAUGUACCUACUAUAAUCUUGAACUGUUGCUCUCUGUGACUUUGCUACCCGCUAUUGUAGCAUCCUAUCACUUCAGGGAACCAACAAGAGCAAUAAGGGAUGCGAAUUCUGUAAGAGGCUAAUGUGUCCCAUCUGCAACCCUUUAAUUUGGAUAAAUGGCUCAAAAUCAACAUAUGUGACAAGGGGAAACAGUAACUGAAUAAUUAAACUCAUCAAGCCAUAUUUCUAUGGCCCUCUCGGAUGUGGGAAAACUGUUAGCCAAAGCAAUUGCUAAUGAAUCUCUGUUUCUUCUCCACGAGCCUUAAUCUAAAACAAUGUCUUAAUCCAGCUGGCAAGUAUGUAUGUUUGGAAGAAUGUCUUUCUAAGUUUUGGACUGAAUAAUCCAUGAAAUAUUGGAAUUUAAGAUCUUUCUAUAUUUUUAUGCUCAAUGAGAGCAGCUUAAACAACUAAACACUUUUUAUAAGGUUUAGUAUAGGAGACGAGGGGUGGAAAAUAAAUAGAUGCACGAUGGCUUGGCAAAUUUCAAUUUUUCAUUGAAUCUCCCCCAAUUUGUUUAUUCCAGUUAUAUCUUUUCAUUUUCACAAACCAUGAGGGAAAUCCCUUAGUUGUAGCAUCAAAUAUGCACCAUGGAAUAGCAGAGGUAACGAUUUCACAAGAUUUAUGCUGUUUAUAGAAGUUUUAGCACAAUUACUUAGUUUUAGAAUGCUUUGGUUUUUAUAUGAUUUUUUUCUAUAAUAGAAAGGGAUAUGUGUUUGUUAACUACAUCAAUCAAUGUUUAGUGUUGUUGGUGACCAAUCGUUCUUUCAUUUAUUUGAUAUUUUUUUUAUCAUUAAUAUUCAUUAAGUACUUAUCUACAUUGUUCAGUAGGCCCAGUCAUCGCUAGCGUGACACCUCUUGAUUGGCUAAUUUCCUAAAAAAUCCUACAUGGAGAUAAUUACCAGAUCAUGGUUUGGAACUACAUCCGCACAGUUGAUGUCGGAUGACAAAACUUCCUUCUGAAGAAAGAUUGGAAACAUCGAAAGAAAUGGGUGCAUGCGUGUGGAAUCUUCGUUUGAAGCUCCGAAUAGAAAAGGUCUUCAUCAACAAUUUACUUUAAGGUUCUUGAGCUAUCAGGGAUUCAGUUUCGGCAAACUUGCGAGAAUCGAAAUCGAUCAUUCGUACAUUCCAGAGUUUCGUGUCGAAACACUUGUCGUGGAAAGGAAUAAGAGACAUUUUUAGAUUCCUCUGAAUAUUUUUGAAGAUCGUUUCUACAGUGCUUUAAGAGCAGGUUAGCCCUUUACUAACGUUUUCGCCCUAAGGCGGAAGUGAAUGAAACUCGUGUUAUAACCUAUAGCGACUAUAGAACUAUUCUUAACCAUUUCCUGAACUUUCUUCUUCAUAACGCUAAUCCAAACAUUAAACACAAGUCAAGUUCCCCUCACGCUUACACAAAAUCCUAUGCGUGAGUUGGAAAUUAAUUAUUUAUUUAAUUCUAAAAUCUUGGGUCUGACAACCUUCGUACGAGUCGGAGAGAAGAACUUGAAGAACUGUGGAUGACUCGAAGAAUAGAGUCGGGUGUAGGGCUAGAGCCUUGGGUUAGAGAGCUUACCGUUAUUGGUAAGCUUGCAUAAUGAGUUUAGAAAUUUAUAUUUGGA
Long non-coding RNA from Lotus japonicus, 3811 nucleotides. RefSeq lists it as uncharacterized. NCBI's taxonomy places the organism in Eukaryota, Viridiplantae, Streptophyta, Magnoliopsida, Fabales, Fabaceae. The transcript is spliced from 6 exons. The record is from RefSeq and is a predicted model, not a curated record.